GGGGAUGUAGCUCAAUUGGUUAGAGCGCCGGCCUGUCACGUCGGAGGUCGCGGGUUCGAGUCCCGUCGUUCCCGC
Molecule: transfer RNA, 75 nt
Filed under: Holospora curviuscula
Lineage: Bacteria; Pseudomonadati; Pseudomonadota; Alphaproteobacteria; Holosporales; Holosporaceae
Description: tRNA-Asp
Rfam family: tRNA
About the family: Transfer RNA (tRNA) molecules are approximately 80 nucleotides in length. Their secondary structure includes four short double-helical elements and three loops (D, anti-codon, and T loops). Further hydrogen bonds mediate the characteristic L-shaped molecular structure. tRNAs have two regions of fundamental functional importance: the anti-codon, which is responsible for specific mRNA codon recognition, and the 3' end, to which the tRNAs corresponding amino acid is attached (by aminoacyl-tRNA synthetases). tRNAs cope with the degeneracy of the genetic code in two manners: having more than one tRNA (with a specific anti-codon) for a particular amino acid; and 'wobble' base-pairing, i.e. permitting non-standard base-pairing at the 3rd anti-codon position.
Source: RNAcentral